This is a long non-coding RNA of Oncorhynchus tshawytscha (Chinook salmon), 900 nucleotides long. The record is from Ensembl. NCBI's taxonomy places the organism in Eukaryota, Metazoa, Chordata, Actinopteri, Salmoniformes, Salmonidae.
GUGAGGUACAGUAGUGCUGGGUGAGGUACAGUAGUGCUGGGUGAGGUACAGUAGUGCUGGGUGAGGUACAGUAGUGCUGGGUGAGGUACAGUAGUGAGUGCUGGGUGAGGUACAGUAGUGAGUGCUGGGUGAGGUACAGUAGUGCUGGGUGAGGUACAGUAGUGCUGGGUGAGGUAGAGUGGGCCAUCAAGGCUUUUGAGGGAGAGCAAGUAGAUCCUCUUAAGCUACUUGACAGCUUGGUUAGCCUGAUCAAGUCUGUGAGCAGCAGGGUGCUGAAUCCACUGGCAAAUGUUGAUGUACUCAAAGGGCCAAUAGAUGGAUGCAUCAGUCCCAACCUGACCUGAGGAUGAAAAUAAUGUCCGAAAGCGGUGUGUAGCCUUCACCAUCUCCCUCACUAAUGAGUUGAGGGUGAGACUGCCGGACAACAUCGAAGCAUUGCAGUACAUGUUAGUUUUAUUUUUUUAUUUUUAUGUAUUUAUUUUUUAUUUUACCCCUUUUUCUCCCCAAUUUCGUGGUAUCCAAUUGUUUAGUAGUACUAUCUUGUCUCAUCGCUACAAUUCCCGUACGGGCUCAGGAGACGAAGGUUGAAAGUCAUGCGUCCUCCGAUACACAACCCAACCAAGCCGCACUGCUUCUUAACACAGCGCGCAUCCAACCCGGAAGCCAGCCGCACCAAUGUGUCAGAGGAAACACUGUGCACCUGGCAACCUUGGUUAGCGCGCACUGCGCCCGGCCCGCCACACGAGUCGCUGAUGCGCGAUGAGACAAGGAUAUCCCUACCGGCCGAACCCUCUCUAACCCGGACGACACUAGGCCAAUUGUGUGUCGCCCCACGGACCUCUCGGUCGCGGCCGGCUGCGACAGAGCCUGGGCGCGAACCCAGAGUCUCUGGUAGUACAG